Molecule: ribosomal RNA, 231 nt
Filed under: uncultured bacterium
Lineage: Bacteria
Description: partial 16S ribosomal RNA
Rfam family: Bacterial small subunit ribosomal RNA
Source: RNAcentral
GAUCAUGGCUCAGAUUGAACGCUGGCGGCAGGCCUAACACAUGCAAGUCGAGCGGUAGCACAGAGAGCUUGCUCUCGGGUGACGAGCGGCGGACGGGUGAGUAAUGUCUGGGAAACUGCCUGAUGGAGGGGGGAUAACUACUAGGAAACGGUAGCUAAUACCGCAUAACGUCGCAAGACCAAAGGUGGGGGACCUUCGGGCCUCAUGCCAUCAGAUGUGCCCAGAUGGGUA